Molecule: ribosomal RNA, 405 nt
Filed under: uncultured bacterium
Lineage: Bacteria
Description: partial 16S ribosomal RNA
Rfam family: Bacterial small subunit ribosomal RNA
Source: RNAcentral
GAUGAACGCUGGCGGCGUGCUUAACACAUGCAAGUUGAACGAAGUGGCGGAUGGGCGAGUAACACGUGAGGAACCUGCCUUUCACAGGGGAAUAACACUGGGAAACCAGUGCUAAUACCGCAUAGUGAAAGAUGGCCUCGCGCCUGAUUAGAUCGUAGGUGAGGUAACGGCUCACCUAGGUGAUGAUCAGUAGCCGGGAUGAAGGGUGACCGGGCACAUUGGCACUGAGAUACGGCCCAGACGAGUACGGGAGGCAGCAGUGGGGGAUAUGGCACAAUGGUGAAAGCCUGAUGCAGCGACGCCGCGGGGGGGAUGAAGGCUUUCGGGUUGUAAACCUCUUUCCAGCGAACAGGGUAGGUGGAGAAGAAGCGCCGGCUAACUACGUGCCAGCAGCCGCGGUAAUAC